Molecule: ribosomal RNA, 497 nt
Filed under: uncultured bacterium
Lineage: Bacteria
Description: partial 16S ribosomal RNA
Rfam family: Bacterial small subunit ribosomal RNA
Source: RNAcentral
GAUGAACGCUGGCGGCGUGCCUAAUACAUGCAAGUCGAGCGAACAGAUGAGGAGCUUGCUCCUCUGACGUUAGCGGCGGACGGGUGAGUAACACGUGGAUAACCUACCUAUAAGACUGGGAUAACUUCGGGAACCCGGAGCUAAUACCGGAUAAUAUAUUGAACCGCAUGGUUCAAUAGUGAAAGACGGUUUUGCUGUCACUUAUAGAUGGAUCCGCGCCGCAUUAGCUAGUUGGUAAGGUAACGGCUUACCAAGGCAACGAUGCGUAGCCGACCUGAGAGGGGGGUCGGCCACACUGGAACUGAGACACGGUCCAGACUCCUACGGGAGGCAGCAGUAGGGAAUCUUACGCAAUGGGCGAAAGCCUGACGGAGCAACGCCGCGUGAGUGAUGAAGGUCUUCGGAUCGUAAAACUCUGUUAUUAGGGAAGAACAAAUGUGUAAGUAACUAUGCACGUCUUGACGGUACCUAAUCAGAAAGCCACGGCUAACUACGUG